GACGAACGCUGGCGGCGUGCUUAACACAUGCAAGUCGAACGGAAAGGCCCUGCUUUUGUGGUGUUCUCGAGUGGCGAACGGGUGAGUAACACGUGAGUAACCUGCCCUUUUCUUUGGUAUAUCUUCAGGAAACUGGAUCUAAUACCGUAUAGGAUCUCCUGCUGCUUUGUGUUGGUUGGAACGUUUCGGCGGUUGGUGUUGGACUCGCGGGUUAUCAGCUUGUUGGUGGGGUAGUGGCUUACCAAGGCUUUGACGGGUAGCCGGCCUGAGAGGGUGACCGGCCACAUUGGGACUGAGAUACGGCCCAGACUCCUACGGGAGGCAGCAGUGGGGAAUAUUGCACAAUGGGCGGAAGCCUGAUGCAGCAACGCCGCGUGCGGGAUGACGGCCUUCGGGUUGUAAACCGCUUUCGCCUGUGACGAAGCGUGAGUGACGGUAAUGGGUAAAGAAGCACCGGCUAACUACGUG
RNAcentral lists this ribosomal RNA (468 nucleotides) under uncultured bacterium. RNAcentral's name for it is "partial 16S ribosomal RNA". It matches the Rfam family "Bacterial small subunit ribosomal RNA", at positions 28 to 507 of the family's 1533-position model. The record is from RNAcentral.